UAGGCGGACGGGGGAGUAAUGUCUGGGAAACUGCCCGAUGAGGGGGGAUAACUACUGGAAACGGUAGCUAAUACCGCAUAACGUCGCAAGACCAAAGAGGGGGACCUUAGGGCCUCUUGCCAUCGGAUGUGCCCAGAUGGGAUUAGCUAGUAGGUGGGGUAACGGCUCACCUAGGCGACGAUCCCUAGCUGGUCUGAGAGGAUGACCAGCCACACUGGAACUGAGACACGGUCCAG
This 236-nucleotide ribosomal RNA is filed under the name uncultured bacterium. Its description in RNAcentral is "partial 16S ribosomal RNA". It matches the Rfam family "Bacterial small subunit ribosomal RNA", at positions 95 to 334 of the family's 1533-position model. The record is from RNAcentral.